Molecule: small RNA, 25 nt
Filed under: Arabidopsis thaliana (thale cress)
Lineage: Eukaryota; Viridiplantae; Streptophyta; Magnoliopsida; Brassicales; Brassicaceae
Description: ATSL132880
Source: RNAcentral
AUGCUGCAUCUCUGUAGGUUCUUCU